GCUGCCCCUCCUAAGCUCGGUGCUUUGCUAUCUACACGGCUCGGGACGCACAGCCCUGUUAGUGGAGGAUUUCCUCCUGUAACGUUUUGCUCCUCUCCAUGGAGAGCCGCUGCAGGUCCUUCUUGACGUCGGGGUGGUCCUCCAGCUCCUCGUACAGCGAGCGCACGAUGUCCAGCUUCCGGUAGUCCCCCGGCCGGACCAGGCUGCGCACCACCUGCAGGCACCGCUCCUUCAGCGUGAACACUGCGGGGAAACAGACAGAGCGCGGGCAGCUGGGCGCCGUGCUGCGAGGGGAUGCAGCCCGGGGCAGGAGGGCACAGAUAACCCGGCGGCGUUACUCGGAGCCUGCGCGGGUCGCUCUGCAAGUAACGCAUCCUAUCUAUCUCCACGGGAACUACAGCGGAUAGAAAGAUCACAGUGACGCCGGUGGACAGAGCGGACUCUCAGCUACAGAACGUUAUUUCCGGACGCAUCCACCGGCGCGAGCUGCGCGUUUUCUCCGGCGGUGAACGCGAACCCCCACGCCGCGCCGCCCCGCAGCGCCCCGCACCUGGCAGCGUGAUGUCGGCCUUGUUGACGUCCGGCGCGGCCACGAACAGCUCCUGCCGGUUGACGAGCAGCCCGUCGUGCGUGCCCGCGUCGCGGAACAGCCACAGGUGCCCGCGGUAGCUGUGCAUGAUCCGCCCGGUGCGCGGCCGCAGCACGGGGUAGUAGCGCGGCCGGCCCUCGAAGUCCACCCAGAUGGGGAGCACGGCGCGCGGGCUGCGGUUGUUGAAGACGACCUCGGAGAGUUCGCGCGUGUUGGCGGAGCGCAGGCACGGCCCGGCGGGACCCGGACCCGGCGGCGCCAUCCCGGCUGCGCGGCCCCG
Molecule: long non-coding RNA, 869 nt
Filed under: Gallus gallus (chicken)
Lineage: Eukaryota; Metazoa; Chordata; Aves; Galliformes; Phasianidae
Source: RNAcentral